Molecule: ribosomal RNA, 449 nt
Filed under: uncultured bacterium
Lineage: Bacteria
Description: partial 16S ribosomal RNA
Rfam family: Bacterial small subunit ribosomal RNA
Source: RNAcentral
AACGAACGCUGGCGGCAUGCCUAACACAUGCAAGUCGAACGAGAUCUUCGGGUCUAGUGGCGCACGGGUGCGUAACGCGUGGGAAUCUGCCCUUUGGUUCGGAAUAACAGUUGGAAACGACUGCUAAUAUCGGAUGAUGACGAAAGUCCAAAGAUUUAUAGCCAGAGGAUGAGCCCGCGUAGGAUUAGCUAGUUGGUGUGGUAAAGGCGCGCCAAGGGGACGAUCCUUAGCUGGUCUGAGAGGAUGAUCAGGCACACUGGGAAGAAGACACGGCCCAGACUCCUACGGGAGGCAGCAGUGGGGAAUAUUGGACAAUGGGCGGGAGCCUGAUCCAGCAAUGCCGCGUGAGUGAUGAAGGCCUUAGGGUUGUAAAGCUCUUUUACCCGGGAUGAUAAUGACAGUACCGGGAGAAUAAGCUCCGGCUAACUCCGUGCCAGCCGCCGCGGUAA